UCCGUUGUCGUCCAGCGGUUUGGAUAUUUGGCUUUCACCCAGGAGACCUGGGUUCAAUUCCCGGCAACGGAA
Molecule: transfer RNA, 72 nt
Organism: Ipomoea nil (Japanese morning glory)
Lineage: Eukaryota; Viridiplantae; Streptophyta; Magnoliopsida; Solanales; Convolvulaceae
Rfam family: tRNA
About the family: Transfer RNA (tRNA) molecules are approximately 80 nucleotides in length.
Source: Rfam